AAUAGAUACCCGGUAGUCCACGCCGUAAACGAUGAGUGCUAAGUGUUAGGGGGUUUCCGCCCCUUAGUGCUGCAGCUAACGCAUUAAGCACUCCGCCUGGGGAGUACGGUCGCAAGACUGAAACUCAAAGGAAUUGACGGGGGCCCGCACAAGCGGUGGAGCAUGUGGUUUAAUUCGAAGCAACGCGAAGAACCUUACCAGGUCUUGACAUCCCAUUGACCGCUAUGGAGACAUGGCUUUCCCUUCGGGGACAGUGGUGACAGGUGGUGCAUGGUUGUCGUCAGCUCGUGUCGUGAGAUGUUGGGUUAAGUCCCGCAACGAGCGCAACCCUUGUUCUUAGUUGCCAUCAUUUAGUUGGGCACUCUAAGGAGACUGCCGGUGACAAACCGGAGGAAGGUGGGGAUGACGUCAAAUCAUCAUGCCCCUUAUGACCUGGGCUACACACGUGCUACAAUGGACGGUACAAACGGUUGCCAACCCGCGAGGGGGAGCUAAUCCGAUAAAACCGUUCUCAGUUCGGAUUGUAGGCUGCAACUCG
RNAcentral lists this ribosomal RNA (538 nucleotides) under uncultured bacterium. RNAcentral describes it as "bacterial SSU rRNA". It matches the Rfam family "Bacterial small subunit ribosomal RNA", at positions 777 to 1314 of the family's 1533-position model. The record is from RNAcentral.